GGUGGAGUAGCCAAGCGGUCAACGGCAACAGACUGUAAAUCUGUCGACUUCGGUCUUCGAAGGUUCAAAUCCUUCCUCCACCA
This 83-nucleotide transfer RNA is filed under the name Gemmatimonadaceae bacterium. Its description in RNAcentral is "tRNA-Tyr". It matches the Rfam family "tRNA". From Rfam's summary of the family: Transfer RNA (tRNA) molecules are approximately 80 nucleotides in length. Lineage: Bacteria; Pseudomonadati; Gemmatimonadota; Gemmatimonadia; Gemmatimonadales; Gemmatimonadaceae. The record is from RNAcentral.